Molecule: long non-coding RNA, 911 nt
Filed under: Ananas comosus (pineapple)
Lineage: Eukaryota; Viridiplantae; Streptophyta; Magnoliopsida; Poales; Bromeliaceae
Description: long non-coding RNA (ACOM_LNC022910)
Source: RNAcentral
CAACCGGCUUUAGACCUGGCAAACGGGCGAGUUGGAUAAUCCGCGGGCAGGUUAUUGUACUCGCAAGUUACUUGGGCAUGAAUAAAAUUUACCCGUAAAUUUUUGAAUAGCCAACAUUUUUAUCCAUACCUGUCCGUGGGCGGGCAGGUGGAUAUGCGGGUUAUUCGCAAUUUUUUUUUCUUUUUCACUCUUAUAUUUUUUAAAUGCAAAACACACACACACACAUAUAUAAGUUUAAAAGCGUAAUAUAACUCAUUAUUUAAAAUAUCAUAAUAUACAAAAAAAAAAAGUUUUAAAGCAAAAAUAUUUCAUAAUAUAAAAGACACGUGAUAAAAAAUUAGGAUUUAAAAGCUAAUAUAACUCAUUAUUUAAAAUAUCAUAAUAUACAAAAAAAUAUUAAAGUUUUAAAGCAAAAAUAUUUCAUAAUAUAAAAGACACGUGAUAAAAAAUUAGGAUUUAAAAGCUAAUAUAACUCAUUAUUUAAAAUAUCAUAAUAUACAAAAAAAUAUUAAAGUUUUAAAGCAAAAAUAUUUCAUAAUAUAAAAGACACGUGAUAAAAAAUUAGGAUUUAAAAGCUAAUAUAACUCAUUAUUUAAAAUAUCAUAAUAUACAAAAAAAUAUUAAAGUUUUAAAGCAAAAAUAUUUCAUAAUAUAAAAGACACGCGAUAAAAAAUUAGAAUUAGAAUUUUUAGGAUGGGUAUAUAUAUAUAAAUUAAGAAAAUAUAUUUUGUAAUUAAAAACUAUAUGUAUGGGUACUCGUAGAUACUCGUGGGUUAUCUAAAAUGCUCAUAAUUUAAUGAAUAUUCAUCCGUUUUAUUCGUAAUUUGUUGGGUUGAAAAAGUUAGUAUCUAUACCCGUAAAUUUACGGAUAAUCUGCAGGCACCCGUCAGUUUGGAUUGAGAUUGGUAGGU